Molecule: RNA transcript, 695 nt
Organism: Melitaea cinxia (Glanville fritillary)
Lineage: Eukaryota; Metazoa; Arthropoda; Insecta; Lepidoptera; Nymphalidae
Gene name: chorion class B protein B.L1-like
Exons: 3
Source: RefSeq, a predicted model, not a curated record
ACGGACUAAUCGCAAUUAUCAUUAUUAAACUUCCGGUAUAUCGGCGACGUUGCAGAUGCUAAGGUCGAGGGCAACUAUGUUGAUACGGACUAUAGUGUCUCCGGCGAUGAGAUGGUACCGAAGAUCAAAAGAAUAAAUGUUAUUCUAUUUAUUGGCUGAUAUUAUGAUGAAAGUAUCAAUAUAUUAGAGCUGUGAUAAAGUGGAUCCAACAUUAAAUAGGACAGUGGGUUAGCGCAGGGCAUCAACUCCGUUCCGUCCUACAAUUAAGUACAAACAAACAAAGAUAUGGAGGCUAAAAUCGCUUUUGUCUUCUGCUUACAAUUAUUCUUCUCAAAGGACAUAUUCUGCCAAUGCAUUGGCACUACUUUCUUACCAGAAACAUAUAGCGCUAUUGGCACUGGCAUUCCUAACCCUUUUACCAGUCAGCUAACAAUGCACAUACCUAACUUACCUGCGCCAAUGUUUUCUAUAUUAUCUGACAAUUUAAUUGUCGAUGGCACGGUAUCCGUCAGUGGAUCUCUGCCAUUCAUUGGCGCGGUGAGUCUUGAGGGUCAAGUGCCAACCGUCGGCGAAGCUUCAGUGAUGUACAACUGUGGUAACGGAGAGAUUGGCAUGGAGAGAACAACGCCAACUAGAUUGCCAUACGGCUUAUAAUAUAUUGUUGAGUAUUAGGAAUAAAUGUUUAAUUUACAAUA